Molecule: Y RNA, 112 nt
Filed under: Carlito syrichta (Philippine tarsier)
Lineage: Eukaryota; Metazoa; Chordata; Mammalia; Primates; Tarsiidae
Description: Y RNA (ENSTSYG00000029714.1)
Rfam family: Y RNA
About the family: Y RNAs are components of the Ro ribonucleoprotein particle (Ro RNP), in association with Ro60 and La proteins. The Y RNAs and Ro60 and La proteins are well conserved, but the function of the Ro RNP is not known.
Source: RNAcentral
GGUUAGUUCUAAGGCAGUAAGUUAUCUCAAUUGAUUGUUCACUGUCAGAUACAGAUUGAAAUCCUUGUUCUACUCUCUCUUCCCUUCUCACACUGCACUUGAUUAGUCCGUG